This 1545-nucleotide ribosomal RNA is filed under the name Triticum aestivum (bread wheat). RNAcentral describes it as "partial small subunit ribosomal RNA". Lineage: Eukaryota; Viridiplantae; Streptophyta; Magnoliopsida; Poales; Poaceae. The record is from RNAcentral.
AUGCGUUAUCCAGAGGAGCCGGGCAUGCUAUUGCUGUUGGCACUGCUGCUUCUCUGUAACAACGGAGUCGGUGACGUUGAAGGCUCAACGAUCCACGAGAAUAGCAGCAUUGUUGAUCUGCACGCGCUGCUCGACUUCAAGCAAGGCAUCACCGACGAUCCACAAGGGGCCUUGAGCAGCUGGAGCAACAACACCCACUUCUGUCGAUGGCGUGGUGUAAACUGCACCACGACACCACCGCGUCGCGUCUCAUGGCUUGUCCUCACCGGCCUGGAUUUAGCAGGACAAAUCACCUCCUCUCUUGGAAACAUGACAUUCCUUCGAUCGCUCGACCUUUCAUCUAAUAACUUGGUUGGCCCCAUACCUAUCCUUGGCCAUCUCCAACAACUGGAGACACUUUACCUGUACGACAACCAUCUGCACGGGACAAUUCCUGAUUCAAUCACCAACUGUUCCAGCUUGGCCAACCUAGAUCUCUCUAUAAAUUCUCUAGUGGGUGUAAUUCCUCCGAAACUAGACUUUCUUUCACAUCUUUUCUACCUAAACCUCUCUGGAAACUCCAUAGCGGGUCCAAUCCCUCCGGAACUAGGUUUCCUCUCAAAUCUGUCCGUCUUAGAUCUAUCUGAAAACUUGCUAGUGGGUGAAAUUCAUCCGAAACUAGGUCUCCUUUCAGAUCUGAUCCUCUUGGAUCUCUCCACAAACUUGCUAGUGGACCGAAUUCCUCCGAGUUUAGGCUUUCUUCCAAAUCUAGAAUAUCUAUAUCUUCGAUCAAAUCAACUCGAGGGGAGCAUUCCUGAUGAGCUUGGGCAAUUGCAGGUUUUAAAAGAGCUGAUCCUGGGCAGUAACAAGCUUUCAGGUAAAUUCCCACAUGCCAUCUUGAAUCUUUCAGCUUCCCUCCAAUAUCUAGGGUUGGAGUUUAAUAUGCUAGGGAAGGCAUUGCCACCUAAAAUUGGGGACUUUCUGCCUAAUCUCAUACAGCUUAGCAUGAGUGGCAACAUGUUUGAGGGUUGCAUCCCAGCUUCCCUAGGCAAUGCUACAGGGUUAGAAGUGAUAGAUUUAUCAAAUAACAGUUUCAUCGGAAAAAUUCCAGCUUCUUUUGGAAUGCUUUCAAAGCUGGUCAUUCUAAACCUUGAGCAUAACCAGCUAGAAGCCAGGGAAAGCACAGACUGGGAAUUCUUAGAUGAACUGAGAAACUGCCAAUCUCUGAAUGUCCUAUCACUGUCUUACAAUCAGCUGCAUGGACAUAUUCCACAGUUCGUUGGUAACCUAUCACCCAGCCUUGAUACACUUCUGUUAUACGGAAACAGCUUAUCGGGACAAGUACCCCAAAGUAUCGGAAACCUUAGUGCCUUGACUAAACUGGCACUAGGUAAAAAUUAUUUAAGUGGUAAAAUUGAAGGAUGGAUUGGAAACCUAAAAAGCCUACAAUCGUUGAAUCUCGAGUCGAACAGCUUCACUGGCCCAAUCCCAUCCUCCAUUGGCAAUCUUACUUACUUGACGUAUUUGUACAUGAGGGAAAAUAGAUUCGAGGGCCUCAUACCUUAG